This 24-nucleotide non-coding RNA is filed under the name Arabidopsis thaliana (thale cress). Lineage: Eukaryota; Viridiplantae; Streptophyta; Magnoliopsida; Brassicales; Brassicaceae. The record is from RNAcentral.
AGAGUAGCCUCUGUCGCGGUGUCA